RNAcentral lists this ribosomal RNA (468 nucleotides) under uncultured bacterium. RNAcentral's name for it is "partial 16S ribosomal RNA". It matches the Rfam family "Bacterial small subunit ribosomal RNA", at positions 28 to 507 of the family's 1533-position model. The record is from RNAcentral.
GACGAACGCUGGCGGCGUGCUUAACACAUGCAAGUCGAACGGAAAGGCCCUGCUUUUGUGGGGUGCUCGAGUGGCGACCGGGUGAGUAACACGUGAGUAACCUGCCCCUGACUGUGGGAUAACUUCAGGAAACUGGGGCUAAUACCGGAUAGGAGCUCCUGCUGCAUGGUGGGGGUUGGAAAGUUUCGGCGGUUGGGGAUGGACUCGCGGCUCAUCAGCUUGUUGGUGGGGUAGUGGCUUACCAAGGCUUUGACGCGUAGCCGGCCUGAGAGGGUGACCGGCCACAUUGGGCCUGGGAUGCGGCCCGGACUCCUACGGGAGGCAGCAGUGGGGAAUAUUGCACAAUGGGCGGAAGCCUGAUGCAGCAACGCCGCGUGCGGGAUGUCGGCCUUCGGGUUGUAAACCGCUUUCGCCUGUGCCGAGGUGUGAGUGACGGUAAUGGGUGAAGAAGCUCCGGCUAACUACGUG